CCCUGAUCAGCCAUGCCGCGUGUGUGAAGAAGGCCUUUUGGUUGUAAAGCACUUUAAGCGAGGAGGAGGCUUACCUGGUUAAUACCUGGGAUAAGUGGACGUUACUCGCAGAAUAAGCACCGGCUAACUCUGUGCCAGCAGCCGCGGUAAUACAGAGGGUGCAAGCGUUAAUCGGAUUUACUGGGCGUAAAGCGCGCGUAGGUGGCUAAUUAAGUCAAAUGUGAAAUCCCCGAGCUUAACUUGGGAAUUGCAUUCGAUACUGGUUAGCUAGAGUAUGGGAGAGGAUGGUAGAAUUCCAGGUGUAGCGGUGAAAUGCGUAGAGAUCUGGAGGAAUACCGAUGGCGAAGGCAGCCAUCUGGCCUAAUACUGACACUGAGGUGCGAAAGCAUGGGGAGCAAACAGGAUUAGAUACCCUGGUAGUCCAUGCCGUAAACGAUGUCUACUAGCCGUUGGGGCCCUUGAGGCUUUAGUGGCGCAGCUAACGCGAUAAGUAGACCGCCUGGGGAGUACGGUCGCAAGACUAAAACUCAAAUGAAUUGACGGGGGCCCGCACAAGCGGUGGAGCAUGUGGUUUAAUUCGAUGCAACGCGAAGAACCUUACCUGGCCUUGACAUACAGAGAACUUUCCAGAGAUGGAUUGGUGCCUUCGGGAACUCUGAUACAGGUGCUGCAUGGCUGUCGUCAGYUCGUGUCGUGAGAUGUUGGGUUAAGUCCCGCAACGAGCGCAACCCUUUUCCUUAUUUGCCAGCACUUCGGGUGGGAACUUUAAGGAUACUGCCAGUGACAACUGGAGGAAGGGCGGGGACGACGUCAAGUCAUC
Molecule: ribosomal RNA, 820 nt
Filed under: Acinetobacter variabilis
Lineage: Bacteria; Pseudomonadati; Pseudomonadota; Gammaproteobacteria; Moraxellales; Moraxellaceae
Description: bacterial SSU rRNA
Rfam family: Bacterial small subunit ribosomal RNA
Source: RNAcentral